Artibeus jamaicensis (Jamaican fruit-eating bat) is the source of this 637-nucleotide long non-coding RNA. RefSeq lists it as uncharacterized. Lineage: Eukaryota; Metazoa; Chordata; Mammalia; Chiroptera; Phyllostomidae. The record is from RefSeq and is a predicted model, not a curated record. The transcript has 3 exons.
GGACUGGACCUACAACCCUGGGGCAUCAGGACAACACUCCAACUAACUGAGCCACGGGGCCAGGGCCUUCACCGGAUGUUACAGAGAAAGCAGGACAUCCAGCUUCGCUUCUAAUCAAGUCAAGUUCUAGAAGAUCGUGAGAUUACUGGACGAUGUGGAAGAAGAGGAAGGGGAAGGAGGAGAAGGAGGAGGGUUACAAACAGCAAGGACAACUGGGGACACACAGCGAUAUGGACAGUCGGUGAAGAAGAGAAGAAAGGAGGUCCCAGGUUGGCGGCUGUGACACCGAGAAGGCUUCCGAGGAAAAGAAGACGGCUCUGGCUGUGGUCGGAGUCCCAUCCACAUGGCCUUUGAAAUGCAGGGCCAACCGCUGUCCCAGAGGAACAGCAGCGCUGACCACGCCAGCCCACGGAGGAAGGCUCGCUCUCCCUGAUCAGGACUAACUGCCCUGCGCCCCGCCCCCGCGAAGGCAAAUCAACAGAAACGCAGGCAGACACUUCUAACCGCUGCCUUUUAAUCCCUCUGUCACAAAUGUGUUUCCGCUCAAAUACAUAAUCAGGAAGGCACGCAGGCGCUGGCCCGUUCAGAGAACCGAAGGGAGAGACAGCGAAGGCCCAGAUGCGAACUCCCUGGAGGA